AUUGAACGCUGGCGGCAUGCUUUACACAUGCAAGUCGAACGGUAACAGGCCGCAAGGUGCUGACGAGUGGCGAACGGGUGAGUAAUGCAUCGGAACGUGCCCAGUCGUGGGGGAUAACUACUCGAAAGAGUAGCUAAUACCGCAUACGAUCUAUGGAUGAAAGCGGGGGACCGUAAGGCCUCGCGCGAUUGGAGCGGCCGAUGUCAGAUUAGGUAGUUGGUGGGGUAAAGGCUCACCAAGCCAACGAUCUGUAGCUGGUCUGAGAGGACGAGCAGCCACACUGGGACUGAGACACGGCCCAGACUCCUACGGGAGGCAGCAGUGUGGAAUUUUGGACAAUGGGCGCAAGCCUGAUCCAGCAAUGCCGCGUGCAGGAAGAAGGCCUUCGGGUUGUAAACUGCUUUUGUACGGAACGAAACGGCUCUGGUUAAUACCCGGGGCUAAUGACGGUACCGUAAGAAUAAGCACCGGCUAACUACGUG
RNAcentral lists this ribosomal RNA (482 nucleotides) under uncultured bacterium. RNAcentral describes it as "partial 16S ribosomal RNA". It matches the Rfam family "Bacterial small subunit ribosomal RNA", at positions 30 to 507 of the family's 1533-position model. The record is from RNAcentral.